GGACCGAUAUAUCGGUCGUGCCUCGGUACGUACUGGCAUUGUUGGUUUCUCCCUUCUGACGAACCAUGAUGUCAUUUAUUUGGUGUUGUGGGGAAUCAGGACUGUUACUUUGAAAAAAUUAGGGUGUUUAAAGCAGGCUCACGCUUGAAUACAAUAGCAUGGAAUAAUGAAAUAGGACGUUCGGUCCUAUUUUGUUGGUUUCUAGGAUUGACGUA
RNAcentral lists this ribosomal RNA (215 nucleotides) under Campeiostachys nutans. RNAcentral's name for it is "Elymus nutans partial small subunit ribosomal RNA". The stretch from base 38 to 215 matches the Rfam family "Eukaryotic small subunit ribosomal RNA", at positions 685 to 864 of the family's 1831-position model. The record is from RNAcentral. Lineage: Eukaryota; Viridiplantae; Streptophyta; Magnoliopsida; Poales; Poaceae.